Molecule: small nucleolar RNA, 213 nt
Filed under: Erinaceus europaeus (western European hedgehog)
Lineage: Eukaryota; Metazoa; Chordata; Mammalia; Eulipotyphla; Erinaceidae
Description: Small nucleolar RNA U3 (ENSEEUG00000016425.1)
Rfam family: Small nucleolar RNA U3
About the family: Small nucleolar RNAs (snoRNAs) are involved in the processing and modification of rRNA in the nucleolus.
Source: RNAcentral
NNNNNNNUACUUUCAGGGAUCAUUUCUAUAGUUUGUUACUAGAGAAGUUCCUCUGGUUGUGUAGGGCACCCGAAACCACGAGGAAGAGACAUAGCACUCUCUCCUGAGCGUGAAGCUGGCUCUUGGUGUUGUAUCUGCAAUUGCCAUCUGCCUUUGAUGACCGUUCUUGCCUCUCAUAAGAGAGGAAGGAGGGAGAGGGUGUGUUCUGAGUGG